GGGGGACUGGAGGACUGGAGUUGGGCUGUUGGGGGACUGGAGUUGGGUUGUAGGGGGACUGGAGGCCUGGAGUUGGGCUGUUGAGGGUACUGGAGGACUGGAGUUGGGCUGUAGGGGGGACUGGAGGACUGGAGUUGGGCUGUUGGAGGGACUGGAGGACUGGAGUUGGGCUGUUUGGAGGACUGGAGGACUGGAGUUGGACUGUUGGGAGGACUGGAGGACUGGAGUUGGACUUUUGGUUGGACUGGAGAACUGGAGUUGGGCUGUUGGGGUGACUGGAGAACUGGAGUUGGACUGACUGGAGGACUGGAGUUGGACUGUUGGGAGGACUGGAGUUGGGCUAUUGGAGGUACUGGAGGACUGGAGUUGGGGUGUUGGGGGGACUGGAUGACUGGAGUUGGGCUGUUGGGGGUACUGGAGUUGGGCUGUUGGGGG
Long non-coding RNA from Oncorhynchus tshawytscha (Chinook salmon), 435 nucleotides. The record is from Ensembl. Lineage: Eukaryota; Metazoa; Chordata; Actinopteri; Salmoniformes; Salmonidae.